Lacerta agilis (Sand lizard) is the source of this 318-nucleotide long non-coding RNA. RefSeq lists it as uncharacterized. The record is from RefSeq and is a predicted model, not a curated record. The transcript is spliced from 3 exons. NCBI's taxonomy places the organism in Eukaryota, Metazoa, Chordata, Lepidosauria, Squamata, Lacertidae.
UCUGUGGUUUGUGGUUGGGAAUAAAAGAGGGAGAGAUGUUGUUCCUCCCCUGGCUUAUGCUCUGGGGCCUCAUCCAUCUUACCAAAGCUGGCCCAGUUUCUUCAGUUUUGUACAAUUUUUUAGCAAGAAAGGAAGAAUCCCUUAUUCCUUCAGCUAACAAGACUGUGCUUGGAAGAGGCAUGCAUCUCAAAGAAGGCGAUUUCAACAUCGCAACCAUCCUCUCCACUACGUUUUUGAAUGUUCCCCAUCAGAUCCAUAGCCAGUCUAACCGUAUCAAGGACUUCCUAAUGUGUGUGCUGGAAGACCGUAUAUUUACAC